AUAUAACUAAAGCUCAAAUGUAAAUUCCAUGAUUCUUGUUCCUGCAUGGCCAAAAUGUUUUCGUCUUUCGACCCUAGUAAAUCUAACGUGUGUUAAGGUGCGAAAACGAACACAGUACUUGUACUUUGAACAGACUGAGCACAUGAGCUGUUUACUUAGAUACGUUUUUCGUGCCAUGUUUUGACGUAAAUGAAAAUACAAGGUGCAUCGAGGCCUUAAAUUGGGGCUAUCUUGGCUCAGCCUGUCCAGGCAUCCUACUGCGGAAGGAUGGACUGCUGCUUUCAUCUGUGGAACUACAAUGCAAUGUUAUUAACUGAUCACUGAAAAGCAGCACAGGACCAACAGGAGAUCCAACUACAUAAAGGUUAUCCAGAUGCUUCUAAUUUCUUCUCCUGUAUCCACAGUCUGGGACAUCAUUUGGGAUUUACAUUUUCUGAAAAAAAUUAUGUCUGGUCUUCUCUGAGAUAUAUGAAAUAUUUGUUUUCAAUAAG
Molecule: long non-coding RNA, 491 nt
Organism: Erpetoichthys calabaricus (reedfish)
Lineage: Eukaryota; Metazoa; Chordata; Cladistia; Polypteriformes; Polypteridae
Exons: 4
Source: RefSeq, a predicted model, not a curated record